This 253-nucleotide ribosomal RNA is filed under the name uncultured bacterium. RNAcentral describes it as "partial 16S ribosomal RNA". It matches the Rfam family "Bacterial small subunit ribosomal RNA", at positions 524 to 776 of the family's 1533-position model. The record is from RNAcentral.
UACGGGGGGGGCAAGCGUUGUUCGGAAUUACUGGGCGUAAAGGGUUCGUAGGUGGCCGACUAAGUCAGACGUGAAAUCCCUCAGCUCAACUGGGGAACUGCGUCUGAGACUGGCCGGCUUGAGUGCAGGAGAGGAACGCGGAAUUCCAGGUGUAGCGGUGAAAUGCGUAGAUAUCUGGAGGAACACCGGUGGCGAAGGCGGCGUUCUGGACUGCUACUGACACUGAGGAACGAAAGCCAGGGGAGCAAACGGG